This is a small nucleolar RNA of Heteronotia binoei (common prickly gecko), 126 nucleotides long. RefSeq annotates it as small nucleolar RNA SNORD22. The record is from RefSeq and is a predicted model, not a curated record. Lineage: Eukaryota; Metazoa; Chordata; Lepidosauria; Squamata; Gekkonidae. The transcript has a single exon.
UCCCAAUGAAGAAACCUUGUUGUCCUACCAUCUGUUCUGGCACCAGAACCUGCGAAGGUUGAACCCACUGGGGCCGGCGGAGGGAGAGGAGGAAUCUCUGCUCCAGCAGGAGUAGUCUGAUGGGAC